GCGGAGAACGGAACACACAUUCCCUUCCAACACUAGUCAAGGUUUGAGAACCGUGUGCUCCGCAGAAGCAACAUGAAGGUCCUGGUACUUCUGGCCGUUCUCGCCAUGUUCGCCGUGGCUUACACUGUGGCGGCGCCGCAGUACUACGUCGGCGACGCCCUGCACUACUACGGCCACUACGCGUCGCCGUUGGGAUACUACCACUCCUAUUACCCGUACUACUACUACGGGCGCUAGAGGGCGUGGAACUCCUGCUGCCCUUGGGAUGGCGUUCUGAAUUAUCACUCCGUCCCGAGAGCACAGCACCGCGGGAGCCACACCACAACCAUCUGUACUCUGAUUCCUUCACCUCCAAAGCUACAAGAACCCCAGCUCUGAUCACCCUGACUACAGCUCCCUCGAUUACCACAAACUAUUGCUCACUGCUCGACUAUUGGCUUCUGAAAUAAAAUGUUUCCUAAACACUA
This 467-nucleotide long non-coding RNA is filed under the name Ixodes scapularis (black-legged tick). RNAcentral's name for it is "uncharacterized LOC120841562". The record is from RNAcentral. Lineage: Eukaryota; Metazoa; Arthropoda; Arachnida; Ixodida; Ixodidae.